UCCGGACAUCAAUUAUUAUCGGAAUAGAUGUCGAUCUCCACUAACACUAAUAAUCCCAACACAAUGGAACUAUCAAUUUUAUCUUUAAUCAACACGAACUUAUUCAUCAUUAAUAUUAUAACUCACAAUAUUUAACAACCAGAUCGUUCCAAGGAAAAAGGGGGCUUUCUGAUAAAGAUUUCUCCUUAUUGGCGCGCAAUUAGGUG
This 206-nucleotide long non-coding RNA is filed under the name Panax ginseng (ginseng). RNAcentral's name for it is "long non-coding RNA (PGIN_LNC008653)". Lineage: Eukaryota; Viridiplantae; Streptophyta; Magnoliopsida; Apiales; Araliaceae. The record is from RNAcentral.